AGAGUUUGAUCAUGGCUCAGGAUGAACGCUAGCGGCAGGCUUAACACAUGCAAGUCGAGGGGUAGAAGCUUUCGGGCUUUGAGACCGGCGCACGGGUGCGUAACGCGUAUGCAAUCUGCCUUACACUAAGGGAUAGCCCAGAGAAAUUUGGAUUAAUACCUUAUAGUAUAUAGUUGGGACAUCCCUUUUAUAUUAAAGAUUUAUCGGUGUAAGAUGAGCAUGCGUCCCAUUAGCUAGUUGGUGUGGUAACGGCAUACUAAGGCAAUGAUGGGUAGGGGUCCUGAGAGGGAGAUCCCCCACACUGGUACUGAGACACGGACCAGACUCCUACGGGAGGCAGCAGUGAGGAAUAUUGGACAAUGGGCGCAAGCCUGAUCCAGCCAUGCCGCGUGCAGGAUGACGGUCCUAUGGAUUGUAAACUGCUUUUGUACGGGAAGAAACACUCCAACGUGUUGGAGCUUGACGGUACCGUAAGAAUAAGGAUCGGCUAACUCCGUGCCAGCAGCCGCGGUAAUACGGAGGAUCCAAGCGUUAUCCGGAAUCAUUGGGUUUAAAGGGUCCGUAGGCGGUUUUAUAAGUCAGUGGUGAAAUCCGGCAGCUCAACUGUCGCACUGCCCUUGAUACUGUAGAACUUGAAUUAUUGUGAAGUAACUAGAAUAUGUAGUGUAGCGGUGAAAUGCUUAGAUAUUACAUGGAAUACCCAUUGCGAAGGCAGGUUACUAACAAUAUAUUGACGCUGAUGGACGAAAGCGUGGGGAGCGAACAGGAUUAGAUACCCUGGUAGUCCACGCCGUAAACGAUGGAUACUAGCUGUUGGAAGCAAUUCUGAGUGGCUAAGCGAAAGUGAUAAGUAUCCCACCUGGGGAGUACGAACGCAAGUUUGAAACUCAAAGGAAUUGACGGGGGCCCGCACAAGCGGUGGAGCAUGUGGUUUAAUUCGAUGAUACGCGAGGAACCUUACCAGGGCUUAAAUGUAGGUUGACAGGCUUGGAAACAGGUUUUUCUUCGGACAACUUACAAGGUGCUGCAUGGUUGUCGUCAGCUCGUGCCGUGAGGUGUCAGGUUAAGUCCUAUAACGAGCGCAACCCCUGUCGUUAGUUGCCAGCGAGUCAUGUCGGGAACUCUAACGAGACUGCCGGUGCAAACCGUGAGGAAGGUGGGGAUGACGUCAAAUCAUCACGGCCCUUACGUCCUGGGCUACACACGUGCUACAAUGGCCGGUACAGAGAGCAGCCACUGGGCGACCAGGAGCGAAUCUAUAAAACCGGUCACAGUUCGGAUCGGAGUCUGCAACCCGACUCCGUGAAGCUGGAAUCGCUAGUAAUCGGAUAUCAGCCAUGAUCCGGUGAAUACGUUCCCGGGCCUUGUACACACCGCCCGUCAAGCCAUGGAAGCUGGGGGUACCUGAAGUCGGUGACCGCAAGGAGCUGCCUAGGGUAAAACUGGUAACUGGGGCUAAGUCGUAACAAGGUA
RNAcentral lists this ribosomal RNA (1473 nucleotides) under uncultured Flavobacterium sp. RNAcentral describes it as "bacterial SSU rRNA". It matches the Rfam family "Bacterial small subunit ribosomal RNA". Lineage: Bacteria; Pseudomonadati; Bacteroidota; Flavobacteriia; Flavobacteriales; Flavobacteriaceae. The record is from RNAcentral.